AGGACGAACGCUGGCGGCGUGCUUAACACAUGCAAGUCGAGCGGAAAGGCCCUUCGGGGUACUCGAGCGGCGAACGGGUGAGUAACACGUGAGUAAUCUGCCCCUAGCUCUGGGAUAGCUCCGGGAAGCCGGGAUUAAUACCGGAUACGACCACUUUAGACAUCUGUUGUGGUGGAAAGAAUUUUGGCUAGGGAUGAGCUCGCGGCCUAUCAGCUUGUUGGUGGGGUAAUGGCCUACCAAGGCGACGACGGGUA
This 254-nucleotide ribosomal RNA is filed under the name uncultured bacterium. RNAcentral describes it as "partial small subunit ribosomal RNA". It matches the Rfam family "Bacterial small subunit ribosomal RNA", at positions 26 to 285 of the family's 1533-position model. The record is from RNAcentral.